AGUGAACGCUGGCGGUAGGCCUAACACAUGCAAGUCGAACGGCAGCACAGUAAGAGCUUGCUCUUACGGGUGGCGAGUGGCGGACGGGUGAGGAAUACAUCGGAAUCUACUUUUUCGUGGGGGAUAACGUAGGGAAACUUACGCUAAUACCGCAUACGACCUACGGGUGAAAGCAGGGGAUCUUCGGACCUUGCGCGAUUGAAUGAGCCGAUGUCGGAUUAGCUAGUUGGCGGGGUAAAGGCCCACCAAGGCGACGAUCCGUAGCUGGUCUGAGAGGAUGAUCGGCCAACUUGGAACGGAACAACGUCCCAACCCCCAACGGAGGCAGCAGUGGGGAAUAUUUGGCAAAGGGGGGAAGCCUGAACCAACCCAACCCGGGGGGUGAAAAAAGCCUUCGGGUUUGUAAGCCCCUUUGUUGGGAAAAAAAAACAAGCGGUUUAAACCCCGCUGUUCUUACGGGAACCAAAAAAAAAACACCGGGUAACUUCGGU
Molecule: ribosomal RNA, 491 nt
Filed under: uncultured bacterium
Lineage: Bacteria
Description: partial 16S ribosomal RNA
Rfam family: Bacterial small subunit ribosomal RNA
Source: RNAcentral